AGAGUUUGAUCCUGGCUCAGGAUGAACGCUAGCGACAGGCUUAACACAUGCAAGUCGAGGGGCAGCGGUGGUGAAGGCUUGCCUUUACCAGCCGGCGACCGGCGCACGGGUGAGUAACACGUAUGCAACCUGCCUGCCACAGCCGGAUAAUCGGGAGAAAUUCCGUCUAAUACGGCAUAAUGCACCUAUGGGACAUCCUGUUGGUGCCAAAGGUUGAUUCCGGUGGCGGAUGGGCAUGCGUCGCAUUAGUUAGUUGGCGGUGUAACGGACCACCAAGACGACGAUGCGUAGGGGUUCUGAGAGGAAGGUCCCCCACACUGGUACUGAGACACGGACCAGACUCCUACGGGAGGCAGCAGUGAGGAAUAUUGGUCAAUGGGCGGGAGCCUGAACCAGCCAAGUCGCGUGAGGGAUGACGGCCCUAUGGGUUGUAAACCUCUUUUGCCGGGGAGCAAAGUGCCGCACGUGUGCGGUUUGGAGAGUACCCGGAGAAAAAGCAUCGGCUAACUCCGUGCCAGCAGCCGCGGUAAUACGGAGGAUGCGAGCGUUAUCCGGAUUUAUUGGGUUUAAAGGGUGCGUAGGCGGACGCUUAAGUCAGCGGUAAAAUUGCGGGGCUCAACCUCGUCGAGCCGUUGAAACUGGGUGCCUUGAGUGGGCGAGAAGUACGCGGAAUGCGUGGUGUAGCGGUGAAAUGCAUAGAUAUCACGCAGAACUCCGAUUGCGAAGGCAGCGUACCGGCGCCCAACUGACGCUGAAGCACGAAGGCGUGGGUAUCGAACAGGAUUAGAUACCCUGGUAGUCCACGCAGUAAACGAUGAAUGCUAGUUGUCCGGGGCGAUUGAGUUCUGGGUGACACAGCGAAAGCGUUAAGCAUUCCACCUGGGGAGUACGCCGGCAACGGUGAAACUCAAAGGAAUUGACGGGGGCCCGCACAAGCGGAGGAACAUGUGGUUUAAUUCGAUGAUACGCGAGGAACCUUACCCGGGCUCAAACGCAGGAGGGAUGUUUUUGAAAGGAGGCAGCCAGCAAUGGUCUCCUGCGAGGUGCUGCAUGGUUGUCGUCAGCUCGUGCCGUGAGGUGUCGGCUUAAGUGCCAUAACGAGCGCAACCCCUACCUACAGUUGCCAUCGCGUGAUGGCGGGCACUCUGUGGGGACUGCCUGCGCAAGCAGUGAGGAAGGCGGGGAUGACGUCAAAUCAGCACGGUCCUUACGUCCGGGGCGACACACGUGUUACAAUGGCAGGUACAGCGGGAAGCCACCCGGCGACGGGGCGCGGAACCCGAAAACCUGUCUCAGUUCGGAUUGGAGUCUGCAACCCGACUCCAUGAAGCUGGAUUCGCUAGUAAUCGCGCAUCAGCCACGGCGCGGUGAAUACGUUCCCGGGCCUUGCACUCACCGCCCGUCA
This 1405-nucleotide ribosomal RNA is filed under the name uncultured bacterium. Its description in RNAcentral is "16S ribosomal RNA". It matches the Rfam family "Bacterial small subunit ribosomal RNA". The record is from RNAcentral.